GAGAAGAGGGAGCGCGCGCUGUGGGAGUCCGCUGGUGACGAGAGGAGGGAGCGCGCGCUGUGGGAGUCCGCUGGUGACGAGAGGAGGGAGCGGCGGCGGCGGCUGCUGCUGCUACUGAAGAGGAAGCGCGGCAGGCUACUUCUGCUGCAAGCGCUGAACUGCAACUGGAAGUGCUUUUAUUAUGCAGUUCAAAGUGCUUACCGCUCAAAACACCCAGAGAUCCAAGAGCAGAAUCUGCAACUAUACUGCAGAGAUGGAAACGGAUGAAGAUUUAUACAGUUCCUGAAGUUAUAGUAAAGAGUAAACACCCAAAGAAUGGCUAUGUGAAAAUGUUACUAUAUUGACAUCUUGGCGACGGAACUGUUCAGUUCUUUAAAUGGCAAAUCUGUAAAUAUUACUGCAGUGCAAUGUUUUUGUUUAUAUGUUGGCAACUGUGUCUAAAAUAACCAGCAUGCCUUUUCCCUGUGAUUGCAUUUAAUAGGGUUCAUCUGACUUGACUGGUGUUGCUUCAUGCCAGUUUGAGACACUGCUGCUCCUCUGAAACUCCACACUUUAAAAGAUAAAAAUACCUUGGUUGGAUUAUUUUUUUUGUAUUUCAUUGUACAGCCUCCUAAAAUAAAAGGAAAAUCCCAUUCUUUUUGUGAACUGAAGAGAUGGUUACUCAAAAAAGAAGAGAUACUCAAAAUGGUUCUAAAGUGUAUUUAUAUUUCAUUUCAGUUUCAAAUUGUAUCGCUUUUUCCAAGGAAAUAAUUUGACUUCCCCAUACAUUAAUCACUUUGAUAAGACCUGCUAUUUAUUUAUUUUGAGAAGGUAGUAGGAUAGACGUGAAGAGAAUUGUGAUGGAUCCUGAUUGACUAUUGUUGCCAUGCACAUCUAUUUUCUACUGACUAUAUUUAGCAAAUUCACAUUGGAAUUAAACCUUCUGAAAAAUCAAGAAUCAUGUCCUUCCCCCACCUGCCCCCCAUGACAAUGAUUUAUCAGUCCUUUCCUUAAAGGUUGUGCGUCACUGGGAACACCACUGGAAGAAUCUAGUAACUAUUGUCACCUUAGUAGACAAAUCUAAGUAGUGCUAAAAUCUACUUAACCUUCAGGGUAAAUACAGACAUUUCGGUGAAUGAUCGUUCCCACACCAACAAUUGCUCUUCUUACCGCAUAAUUCUGCCCCAAAUCCAAACUCUCCUCUCAAUUCUCUGCAAUUCCAGCAUUACACAAGGUCAUAAGGAAUAGGGGUAGCAUUAGGCCAUUCGGACGAUCGAGUCUUCUCCGCCAUUCAAUCAUGGCUGAUCUAUCUCGGCCUCCUAACCCCAUUCUCCUGCCUUCUCCCAAUAGCCCCUGACACCUGUACUAAUCAAUUAUUUAUCAAUCUCUGCCUUAAAAAUAUUCACUGACUUGGCCUCCACAGCCUUGUGGCAAAGAAUUGCACAGAUUCACCACCCUCUGACUAAAGAAAUUCCUCCUCAUCUCCUUCCUGAAAGAACGUCCUUUAAUUCUGAGAUUAUGACUUCUAGACUCCCACUAGUGGAAACACCCUCUCCACAUCCAAGCCUUUCACUGUUCUGUGUGUUUCAAGGAGGACCCCCAUCAUUCUUCUAAACUCCAGCAAGUACAUGCCUCAUGCUUACAAACGUUCAUCACAGGUUAACCUACUCAUUCCUGGGAUCAUUCUUGUAAACCUCUCCAGAGCCAUCACACAUCCUUCCUCAGAUAUGGUGCCCAAAAUUGCUCACAAUAUUCCAAAUUCGACCUUACCAUCGCCUUAUAGAGCCUCAGCAUGACAUCCAUGUUUUUGUAUAUAAGCCCUCUUUAAAUAAAUAUUAGCAUUGCGUUUGCUUUCUUUACUACC
Molecule: long non-coding RNA, 1843 nt
Organism: Leucoraja erinaceus (little skate)
Lineage: Eukaryota; Metazoa; Chordata; Chondrichthyes; Rajiformes; Rajidae
Exons: 2
Source: RefSeq, a predicted model, not a curated record